This 516-nucleotide ribosomal RNA is filed under the name uncultured bacterium. Its description in RNAcentral is "bacterial SSU rRNA". It matches the Rfam family "Bacterial small subunit ribosomal RNA", at positions 380 to 916 of the family's 1533-position model. The record is from RNAcentral.
ACUCUGAUGCAGCGAUGCCGCGUGAGUGAAGAAGGCCUUUGGGUUGUAAAGCUCUUUUGUAGGGGAAGAUAAUGACUGUACCCUAAGAAUAAGGUCCGGCUAACUUCGUGCCAGCAGCCGCGGUAAUACGAAGGGACCUAGCGUAGUUCGGAAUUACUGGGCGUAAAGCGCGCGUAGGCCGUUGAGUUAGUUAAUUGUGAAAUCCCAAAGCUUAACUUUGGAACUGCAAUUAAAACUGCUCGACUAGAGUUUGAUAGAGGAAAGCGGAAUACAUAGUGUAGAGGUGAAAUUCGUAGAUAUUAUGUAGAACACCAGUUGCGAAGGCGGCUUUCUGGAUCAACACUGACGCUGAGGCGCGAAAGUAUGGGUAGCAAAGAGGAUUAGAUACCCUCGUAGUCCAUACCAUAAACGAUGAUUGCUAGAUGUUGGAAAUUUAUUUUCAGUAUCGCAGCUAACGCAUUAAGCAAUCCGCCUGGGGAGUACGACCGCAAGGUUAAAACUCAAAUGAAUUGACGG